GGACGCGGUAGCGAAGAACCAUCGACUGCGACUUAGCGAGCCUGCCCUGGCAGUGGGAGCCUGAAGCAGGCACGGGCGAAGAACACUGUCAGGUCGCUGAGUCGGCGUCCCAGUUGAUGGGGAGCUACC
RNAcentral lists this unclassified non-coding RNA (129 nucleotides) under synthetic construct. RNAcentral's name for it is "RNA 3D nanocage from synthetic construct (PDB 7JRS, chain B)". The record is from RNAcentral.